Molecule: ribosomal RNA, 608 nt
Filed under: uncultured archaeon
Lineage: Archaea
Description: bacterial SSU rRNA
Rfam family: Archaeal small subunit ribosomal RNA
Source: RNAcentral
ACCGGACCAGGCCUUAUGGGCGCAAGCAGGCGGAGAAACCUUUGCAAUGUGCGAAAGCACGACAAGGUAAUCCGAGUGUCUCCUGCUAAAGGAGUCUUUUGUCAGUUGUAGAAUCACUGGGUGAAUAAGGGGUGGGCAAGUUCUGGUGUCAGCCGCCGCGGUAAAACCAGCACCUCGAGUGGUCAGGAGGUUUAUUGGGCCUAAAGCAUCCGUAGCCGGUUGCAUAAGUUUUCGGUUAAAUCUAUGCGCUUAACGUAUAGGCCGCCGAAAAUACUGUGCAGCUAGGGAGUGGGAGAGGUACACGGUACUCGAUAGGAAGGGGUAAAAUCCUUUGAUCUAUUGAAGACCACCUGUGGCGAAGGCGGUGUACCAGAACACGUUCGACGGUGAGGGAUGAAAGCUGGGGGAGCAAACCGGAUUAGAUACCCGGGUAGUCCCAGCUGUAAGCGAUGCAGACUCGGUGAUGCAUUGGCUUGUGGCCAAUGCAGUGCCGCAGGGAAGCCGUUAAGUCUGCCGCCUGGGAAGUACGUACGCAAGUAUGAAACUUAAAGGAAUUGGCGGGGGAGCACCACAAGGGGUGAAGCUGCGGUUCAAUUGGAGUCACGCCG